UCUGAAUCUGCGAACGGCUCCGCAAACCAGUUGUAAACUAUAGCAAGCAGGUCCUUUGCUGGCCCUCACGGGCUGGCACUGGGCGAUAUGGAUAACCCUGGUAAUUCUGAGGCUAAUACAUGAGCGUAAACCCUGGUUGACCGGGCUUCGGCCUGGGAUUCUGGGGGGCGUGCGAUUUCAGGCUUGGUAACUCCGGGAAAGGGCGCACGUCCAGACCGCGCUAUAAAGGUCAGUCUCCCUCGGGGGGCUGCCCCAGCGGCUCUUGCUGUGUGCUUCUGACCUAUCAACUAGACGGCAGCGUAAGGGACAUGCUAUGGU
RNAcentral lists this ribosomal RNA (318 nucleotides) under Lamproderma pulchellum. Its description in RNAcentral is "bacterial SSU rRNA". It matches the Rfam family "Eukaryotic small subunit ribosomal RNA", at positions 80 to 350 of the family's 1831-position model. The record is from RNAcentral. Lineage: Eukaryota; Evosea; Eumycetozoa; Stemonitida; Stemonitidae.